UUGGUUAAGUUAGAAAGGGCGCACGGUGGAUGCCUUGGCACUAGGAGCCGAAGAAGGACGGGACUAACACCGAUAUGCUUUGGGGAGCUGUACGUAAGCGUUGAUCCAGAGAUUUCCGAAUGGGGGAACCCACUAUCUUUAGUCGGAUAGUAUCCUUACGUGAAUACAUAGCGUGAGGAAGGCAGACCCAGGGAACUGAAACAUCUAAGUACCUGGAGGAAGAGAAAGAAAAAUCGAUUUCCUGAGUAGCGGCGAGCGAAACGGAAAGAGCCCAAACCAAGAAGCUUGCUUCUUGGGGUUGUAGGACACUCUAUACGGAGUUACAAAAGAAAGUUAUAAAUGAAGCGGUCUGGAAAGGCCCGCCAAAGACGGUAACAGCCCGGUAGUUGAAAUGGCUUUCCCUCCAGAGUGGAUCCUGAGUACGGCGGAACACGUGAAAUUCCGUCGGAAUCCGGGAGGACCAUCUCCCAAGGCUAAAUACUCCCUAGUGACCGAUAGUGAACCAGUACCGUGAGGGAAAGGUGAAAAGCACCCCGGAAGGGGAGUGAAACAGUUCCUGAAACCGUGUGCCUACAAGUAGUUAGAGCCCGUUAAUGGGUGAUAGCGUGCCUUUUGUAGAAUGAACCGGCGAGUUACGAUUUGUUGCAAGGUUAAGCGGAAAAAGCGGAGCCGUAGCGAAAGCGAGUCUGAAUAGGGCGCAUAAGUAACAGGUCGUAGACCCGAAACCAGGUGAUCUACCCAUGUCCAGGAUGAAGGUAAGGUAAUACUUACUGGAGGUCCGAACCCACGCACGUUGAAAAGUGCGGGGAUGAGGUGUGGGUAGCGGAGAAAUUCCAAUCGAACUUGGAGAUAGCUGGUUCUCUCCGAAAUAGCUUUAGGGCUAGCCUCGAGGUAAAGAGUCAUGGAGGUAGAGCACUGUUUGGACUAGGGGCCCUUCUCGGGUUACCGAAUUCAGAUAAACUCCGAAUGCCAUGUA
Molecule: ribosomal RNA, 976 nt
Filed under: Listeria monocytogenes
Lineage: Bacteria; Bacillati; Bacillota; Bacilli; Caryophanales; Listeriaceae
Description: partial 23S ribosomal RNA
Rfam family: Bacterial large subunit ribosomal RNA
Source: RNAcentral